RNAcentral lists this ribosomal RNA (464 nucleotides) under uncultured bacterium. Its description in RNAcentral is "partial 16S ribosomal RNA". It matches the Rfam family "Bacterial small subunit ribosomal RNA", at positions 339 to 795 of the family's 1533-position model. The record is from RNAcentral.
CUACGGGAGGCUGCAGUGAGGAAUUUUGCGCAAUGGGGGAAACCCUGACGCAGCAACGCCGCGUGAGUGAAGAAGGCUUUCGGGUCGUAAAGCUCUGUCAGAUAGGAAAAAAGUUCAUAUGUAAAUAGCUUAUGAAUCUGAUGGUACUAUCAGAGGAAGCACCGGCUAACUCCGUGCCAGCAGCCGCGGUAAUACGGAGGGUGCAAGCGUUGUUCGGAAUUACUGGGCGUAAAGGGCGUGUAGGCGGUAUGGUAAGUCAGAUGUGAAAGCCCUGGGCUUAACUCAGGAAGUGCAUUUGAUACUGCCAUCCUUGAGUAUGGGAGAGAAGAGAAGAAUUCCCAGUGUAGAGGUGAAAUUCGUAGAUAUUGGGAGGAAUACCCGUGGCGAAGGCGACUCUCUGGACGAAGACUGACGCUCAGGUGCGAAAGCGUGGGGAGCAAACAGGAUUAGAUACCCUUGUAGUC